Non-coding RNA from Taeniopygia guttata (zebra finch), 421 nucleotides. Lineage: Eukaryota; Metazoa; Chordata; Aves; Passeriformes; Estrildidae. The record is from RefSeq and is a predicted model, not a curated record.
CCCGGGCCCUCCCUGGCUCUCUGCCACUGGAGCUGCGUGUCCGAGUAAACAAAAAGCCAAUAGUGACUGUGAGGGAUGGAAGAGCCACUGUCACACUCAAACCCACCAUCGACGUCGCCAGUCCUGCCCUGCAGACCCCCCAGGGGCUCCUGUUCUCCCUCAAUGCGGACGUCGGUCUGAACAUCAACCCAUCAGUCUCUGAUGGCAAACUGCAAACCUCCCUGGCUCUUGACAGCAUCAACCUGACACAGUUCCCCCGGAGUCUUGAUAUUUCCAGAGCCUCUGCACUUGCAGAAUGGCUCAAGAAGGUCUUCACAGCUGUAUAUGUACCUUUUGUUCAAGAUGCCUUCCGUGUGUCGGUCCCACUGCCCAACGUCCUCAACACCAACCUCAGGAACGUUGAAGUCAACAUUGCUGACGU